AUUGAACGCUGGCGGCAUGCCUUACACAUGCAAGUCGAACGGCAGCACGGGAGCAAUCCUGGUGGCGAGUGGCGAACGGGUGAGUAAAGUAUCGGAACGUGCCCAGUCGUGGGGGAUAACGUAGCGAAAGUUACGCUAAUACCGCAUACGAUCUAUGGAUGAAAGCGGGGGAUCGCAAGACCUCGCGCGAUUGGAGCGGCCGAUAUCAGAUUAGGUAGUUGGUGGGGUAAAGGCUCACCAAGCCGACGAUCUGUAGCUGGUCUGAGAGGACGACCAGCCACACGGGGACUGAGACACGGCCCAGGCUCCUACGGUAGGCAGCAGUGGGGAAUUUUGGACAAUGGGCGAAAGCCUGAUCCAGCCAUGCCGCGUGCAGGAUGAAGGCCUUCGGGUUGUAAACUGCUUUUGUACGGAACGAAAAGGUUUGGCCUAAUAAGCUGAGCUCAUGACGGUGCCGUAAGAAUAAGCACCGGCUAACUACGUGCCAGCCGCCGCCGUAA
This 500-nucleotide ribosomal RNA is filed under the name uncultured bacterium. Its description in RNAcentral is "partial 16S ribosomal RNA". It matches the Rfam family "Bacterial small subunit ribosomal RNA", at positions 30 to 523 of the family's 1533-position model. The record is from RNAcentral.